Micropterus dolomieu (smallmouth bass) is the source of this 1041-nucleotide long non-coding RNA. RefSeq lists it as uncharacterized. The record is from RefSeq and is a predicted model, not a curated record. The transcript has 7 exons. Lineage: Eukaryota; Metazoa; Chordata; Actinopteri; Centrarchiformes; Centrarchidae.
CUGUGACGUUUGCUCAGAUGACAGGACCUGUUUCAAAUGCAGUUUCCUCUACCUGAUGCUGAAUGGUGUGUGUAAAGCUAGUUGUCCCAUGGGCUAUUAUGAGGACAUGGAAGAGGGCCACUGUGGUCAGUGCCACCCUACCUGUGGCAGCUGUUCAGGGCCCCUGGAAGAUGACUGCGAGACCUGCUCGAUGUUUAGCCCCAAACUCUACAAGGGUGCAUGCUCCAAAGACUGCCUCACUGGUACUUACUAUGAAACUGAAGCUAUGGAAUGUCAAGAUGGCACCUGAGUGCAUACAACACAAGGCAGGAGGCUGACGGAACACAGCUGGGAUUCUGUUCGCCAUGUGACCAUGCCUGUUCCACCUGUACCGCAACAUUGCCAAGAUAUUGCCUCACUUGUUCUCUAGGAUACCUGCGCCUCCUUCAACUCUGUGUCACGCAUUGUCCCACAGGGUAUUACAGAGAGGGCCCCUACUGUGAGAAAUGUGACCAGUCCUGUGAGCUGUGUACAGGAGCAGGGCCUGAGUCCUGCAGGAACUGUCCAUCUCCUCUCCUGGAGCUGCAAGGCACUAAGCUGUGUGUUGAGCGAUGCCCACACCGCUUCUACCAGUUCAGUGACGUCUGCAAACAGUGCCACACCAGUUGUCAGACCUGCACAGUGUGUAAUGAAUGCAUGUUUGAAGAUUCCUUGCCUCAGGCCUGUAUGACGUGCGACUGGGGCAGCACUCUAAAGGACAAAUUCUGCUAUCCACGUUGUGAGGAGGGCCGAUACUUCUCAGAAUAGGUGUGCUCUUGGCUACGAGCUGCAUUUCAACUGCAUUCCAACACGGACCAGGGACACCUGUGAGCCAUGUGACACCUCGUGUAGGCAUUGCACUGAACCCAGACCCGACCAGUGUCUAACUUGUCACCGGGAUUCUGAAGGGAAUGACACUAAUUGCUGUGUUAGUGACAGCCGCUCAGCAUUGUGUGUGGAGGCCCCCCAACCCAAGUCAGGAGACGGUCAGGUAACAGACCUGACUAGAAUGGGCAUUUCCUU